AUCUCGAUCAGAUAUCAUGUUGUUUUGACAUGGUAUCAAAGCCUUACGUUCCUGAUUCGCCGUCUUCCGCACUUGUAUUUGAGGAUUCAUUACGGUGGUCGAAGGUUAGAGGAUCUUGAAGAACUCGUGUCUAUAGGUGAAGGAUGCGGGCCCAGUCGUCGGAUCAUUAACACCGUCAAAUAAGCAAGAUUACAGAGUCUCCUUUCAUCUGCCGUUUUCUAAAUAACCCUGUUGGUGAUUGGUUGUGUUUCUUGAAACAUGAAGAUACCCGAAGAUAGGGUGCAC
RNAcentral lists this long non-coding RNA (285 nucleotides) under Helianthus annuus (common sunflower). Its description in RNAcentral is "sRNA HanXRQr2_Chr06g0251111". The record is from RNAcentral. Lineage: Eukaryota; Viridiplantae; Streptophyta; Magnoliopsida; Asterales; Asteraceae.